Molecule: ribosomal RNA, 106 nt
Filed under: Mycoplasma sp. Pen4
Lineage: Bacteria; Bacillati; Mycoplasmatota; Mollicutes; Mycoplasmatales; Mycoplasmataceae
Source: RNAcentral
UGUAGCGAUAAUAGCGAAGGGGAUCACCUGAAUCCAUUCCGAACUCAGUAGUUAAGCCCUUCAGUGCCGACGAUAGCCGCAUGGUGAAAAUAGGGCAUCGCUGUUU